CUCCGGUUGAUCCUGCCGGACCUGACUGCUAUCGGAUUGGUACUAAGCCAUGCGAGUCGUUGUAGCAAUACAAGGCGGACGGCUCAGUAACACGUAGUCAACCUAACCUAUGGACGUGGAUAACCUCGGGAAACUGAGAAUAAACCGCGAUAGAUCAUUAUGCCUGGAAUGGCUUAUGGUUCAAACAAUUUAUUGCCGUAGGAUGGGACUGCGGCCUAUCAGCUUGUUGGUGAGGUAAUGGCCCACCAAGGCUAUAACAGGUACGGGCUCUGAGAGGAGAAGCCCGGAGAUGGGUACUGAGACACGGACCCAGGCCCUAUGGGGCGCAGCAGGCGAGAAACCUUAGCAAUGUGCGAAAGCACGACUAGGUUAAUCCGAGUGAUUUCUGUUGAAGAAAUCUUUUGUCAGUCGUAAAACCACAGACGAAUAAGGGGUGGGCAAGUCUGGUGUCAGCCGCCGCGGUAAUACCAGCACCUCGAGUGGUCAGGAGGUUUAUUGGGCCUAAAGCAUCCGUAGCCGGCUACGCAAGUCUCCGGUUAAAUCCAGCUGCUCAACAGAUGGGCUGCCGGAGAUACUACAUAGCUAGGGAGCGGGAGAGGUAGACGGUAUUCUGUGGGUAGGGGUAAAAUCCACUGAUCCAUAGAGGACCACCAGUGGCGAAGGCGGUCUACCAGAACGCGUUCGACGGUGAGGGAUGAAAGCUGGGGGAGCAAACCGGAUUAGAUACCCGGGUAGUCCCAGCUGUAAACGAUGCAAACUCGGUGAUGCAUUGGCUUAUGGCCAAUGCAGUGCCGCAGGGAAGCCGUUAAGUUUGCCGCCUGGGAAGUACGGACGCAAGUCUGAAACUUAAGGGAUUGGCGGGGGAGCA
Molecule: ribosomal RNA, 868 nt
Filed under: uncultured archaeon
Lineage: Archaea
Description: bacterial SSU rRNA
Rfam family: Archaeal small subunit ribosomal RNA
Source: RNAcentral